AGCAGCCGCGGUAAUUCCAGCUCCAAUAGCGUAUAUUAAAGUUGUUGCAGUUAAAAAGCUCGUAGUUGAAUUUCGGGGUUAGUAGGUUGGUCAUGCCUCUGGUAUGUACUGGUCUCACUGAUUCCUCCUUCCUGAUGAUCCGUAAUGCCAUUAAUUUGGUGUUGCGGGGAAUUUGGACUGUUACUUUGAAAAAAUUAGAGUGUUUAAAGCAAGCUAACGCUUGAAUACAUUAGCAUGGAAUAAUGAAAUAGGACGUUCGAUCCUAUUUUGUUGGUUUCUAGGAUUGACGUAAUGAUUAAUAGGGAUAGUUGGGGGCAUUAGUAUUCAAUUGUCAGAGGUGAAAUUCUUGGAUUUAUUGAAGACUAACUACUGCGAAAGCAUUUGCCAAGGAUGUUUUCAUUAAUCAAGAACGAAAGUUAGGGGAUCGAAGACGAUCAGAUACCGUCGUAGUCUUAACCAUAAACCUAUGCCGACUAGGGAUCGGAUGAUGUUAAUUUUUUUAAUGACUCA
This 510-nucleotide ribosomal RNA is filed under the name uncultured Glomeraceae. Its description in RNAcentral is "SSU rRNA". It matches the Rfam family "Eukaryotic small subunit ribosomal RNA", at positions 569 to 1078 of the family's 1831-position model. The record is from RNAcentral. Lineage: Eukaryota; Fungi; Glomeromycota; Glomeromycetes; Glomerales; Glomeraceae.